This 94-nucleotide ribosomal RNA is filed under the name Tepidibacillus fermentans. The record is from RNAcentral. Lineage: Bacteria; Bacillati; Bacillota; Bacilli; Caryophanales; Bacillaceae.
CACACGCGUACCCAUCCCGAACACGACCGUUAAGCCCUCCAGCGCCGAUGGUACUUGGACCGAAGGGUCUUGGGAGAGUAGGACGUUGCCAGGC